Molecule: ribosomal RNA, 41 nt
Filed under: Gjaerumia minor
Lineage: Eukaryota; Fungi; Basidiomycota; Exobasidiomycetes; Georgefischeriales; Gjaerumiaceae
Description: partial 28S ribosomal RNA
Source: RNAcentral
GGCCUCAAAUCAGGUAGGACUACCCGCUGACUUAAGCAUUA